AACGCGAAGAACCUUACCAGGUCUUGACAUCCUCUGAAAACCCUAGAGAUAGGGCUUCUCCUUCGGGAGCAGAGUGACAGGUGGUGCAUGGUUGUCGUCAGCUCGUGUCGUGAGAUGUUGGGUUAAGUCCCGCAACGAGCGCAACCCUUGAUCUUAGUUGCCAUCAUUAAGUUGGGCACUCUAAGGUGACUGCCGGUGACAAACCGGAGGAAGGUGGGGAUGACGUCAAAUCAUCAUGCCCCUUAUGACCUGGGCUACACACGUGCUACAAUGGACGGUACAAAGAGCUGCAAGACCGCGAGGUGGAGCUAAUCUCAUAAAACCGUUCUCAGUUCGGAUUGUAGGCUGCAACUCGCCUACAUGAAGCUGGAAUCGCUAGUAAUCGCGGAUCAGCAUGCCGCGGUGAAUACGUUCCCGGGCCUUGUACACACCG
Molecule: ribosomal RNA, 433 nt
Filed under: Bacillus thuringiensis
Lineage: Bacteria; Bacillati; Bacillota; Bacilli; Caryophanales; Bacillaceae
Also listed under: 3 other names
Description: partial 16S ribosomal RNA
Rfam family: Bacterial small subunit ribosomal RNA
Source: RNAcentral